UCCACCUCUUCCCAUUCCGAACAGAGAAGUUAAGCUUCGUCACGCCGAUGGUACUGCUAAUUGUGGGAGAGUAGGUAGUCGCCGUUU
RNAcentral lists this ribosomal RNA (87 nucleotides) under Candidatus Phocaeicola faecigallinarum. Lineage: Bacteria; Pseudomonadati; Bacteroidota; Bacteroidia; Bacteroidales; Bacteroidaceae. The record is from RNAcentral.